This 403-nucleotide ribosomal RNA is filed under the name bacterium. RNAcentral's name for it is "partial 16S ribosomal RNA". It matches the Rfam family "Bacterial small subunit ribosomal RNA", at positions 355 to 776 of the family's 1533-position model. The record is from RNAcentral.
UGGGGAAUAUUGCACAAUGGGGGAAACCCUGAUGCAGCGACGCCGCGUGAACGAAGAAGGUAUUCGUAUCGUAAAGUUCUGUCCUAUGGGAAGAUAAUGACAGUACCAUAGAAGAAAGCUCCGGCUAAAUACGUGCCAGCAGCCUCGGUAAUACGUAUGGAGCGAGCGUUGUCCGGAAUUAUUGGGCGUAAAGGGUACGCAGGCAGUUUAAUAAGUCGAAUGUUAAAGAUCUGGGCUCAACCCCGCAAAGCAUUGGAAACUGAUAAGCUUGAGUAGUGGAGAGGAAAGUGGAAUUCCUAGUGUAGUGGUGAAAUACAUAGAUAAUAGAAGGAAUAGCAGUAGCGAAGGCGACUUUCUGGACACAAACUGACCCUGAGGUACGAAAGCGUGGGGAGCAGACAGG